Molecule: ribosomal RNA, 492 nt
Filed under: uncultured bacterium
Lineage: Bacteria
Description: partial 16S ribosomal RNA
Rfam family: Bacterial small subunit ribosomal RNA
Source: RNAcentral
AGUGAACGCUGGCGGUAGGCCUAACACAUGCAAGUCGAACGGCAGCACAGUAAGAGCUUGCUCUUACGGGCGGCGAGUGGCGGACGGGUGAGGAAUACAUCGGAAUCUACUCUUUCGUGGGGGCUAACGUAGGGAAACUUACGCUAAUACCGCAUACGACCUACGGGUGAAAGCAGGGGAUCUUCGGACCUUGCGCGAUUGAAUGAGCCGAUGUCGGAUUAGCUAGUUGGCGGGGUAAAGGCGCACCAAGGCGACGAUCCGUAGCUGGUCUGAGAGGAUGAUCAGCCACACUGGAACUGAGACACGGUCCAGACUCCGACGGUAGGCAGCAGUGGGGAAUAUUGGACGAUGGGCGCAAGCCUGAUCCAGCCAUACCGCGUGAGUGAAGAAGGACUUCGGGUUGUUAAGCCCUUUUGUUGUGAAAGAAAAGCAGCAGGUUUAUACCCCGCUGUUCUGACGGUACCCAAAGAAUAAGCACCGGCUAACUUCGUG